RNAcentral lists this ribosomal RNA (433 nucleotides) under uncultured Desulfobulbus sp. RNAcentral describes it as "bacterial SSU rRNA". It matches the Rfam family "Bacterial small subunit ribosomal RNA", at positions 954 to 1382 of the family's 1533-position model. The record is from RNAcentral. Lineage: Bacteria; Pseudomonadati; Thermodesulfobacteriota; Desulfobulbia; Desulfobulbales; Desulfobulbaceae.
AUGCAACGCGAAGAACCUUACCUGGUCUUGACAUCCCGGAGACCCUUAGGAAACUAGGGGUGCUUCCAUCUGGAAGAAUCUGGAGACAGGUGCUGCAUGGCUGUCGUCAGCUCGUGUCGUGAGAUGUUGGGUUAAGUCCCGCAACGAGCGCAACCCUUGCCUUUAGUUGCCAGCAGUUCGGCUGGGCACUCUAAAGGGACUGCCGGUGUUAAACCGGAGGAAGGUGGGGAUGACGUCAAGCCCUCAUGGCCUUUAUGACCAGGGCUACACACGUACUACAAUGGCCGAUACAAAGGGCAGCGACACUGCGAGGUGAAGCCAAUCCCGUAAAAUCGGUCUCAGUCCGGAUUGGAGUCUGCAACUCGACUCCAUGAAGUUGGAAUCGCUAGUAAUCGUGGAUCAGCAUGCCACGGUGAAUACGUUCCCGGGCCUU